GUAGGUGGCAAGCGUUGUCCGGGAAUUAUUGGGGCGUAAAGCGCGCGCAGGCGGUUCUUUAAGUCUGAUGUGAAAGCCCACGGGCUCAACCGUGGAGGGUCAUUGGAAACUGGAGAACUUGAGUACAGAAGAGGAAAGCGGAAUUCCACGUGUAGCGGUGAAAUGCGUAGAGAUGUGGAGGAACACCAGUGGCGAAGGCGGCUUUCUGGUCUGUAACUGACGCUGAGGCGCGAAGCGUGGGGAGCAAACAGGAUUAGAUACCCUGGUAGUCCACGCCGUAAACGAUGAGUGCUAAGUGUUAGGGGGUUUCCGCCCCUUAGUGCUGCAGCUAACGCAUUAAGCACUCCGCCUGGGGAGUACGGCCGCAAAGGCUGA
This 375-nucleotide ribosomal RNA is filed under the name uncultured organism. RNAcentral describes it as "partial 16S ribosomal RNA". It matches the Rfam family "Bacterial small subunit ribosomal RNA", at positions 527 to 897 of the family's 1533-position model. The record is from RNAcentral.